UACGUAGGGUGCAAGCGUUGUCCGGAAUUAUUGGGCGUAAAGAGCUCGUAGGCGGUCUGUCGCGUCUGCUGUGAAAACUCAGGGCUUAACCCUGAGCUUGCAGUGGGUACGGGCAGACUAGAGUGCGGUAGGGGAGACUGGAAUUCCUGGUGUAGCGGUGAAAUGCGCAGAUAUCAGGAGGAACACCGGUGGCGAAGGCGGGGUCUCUGGGCCGGUAACUGA
RNAcentral lists this ribosomal RNA (222 nucleotides) under uncultured bacterium. RNAcentral's name for it is "partial 16S ribosomal RNA". It matches the Rfam family "Bacterial small subunit ribosomal RNA", at positions 524 to 743 of the family's 1533-position model. The record is from RNAcentral.